UACAGAGGUCUCAAGCGUUGUUCGGAUUCAUUGGGCGUAAAGGGUGCGUAGGUGGCGCCGUAAGUCGGGUGUGAAAUUUCGGAGCUUAACUCCGAAACUGCAUUCGAUACUGCGGUGCUUGAGGACUGGAGAGGAGACUGGAAUUCAUGGCGUAGCAGUGAAAUGCGUAGAGAUCAUGAGGAAGACCAGUGGCGAAGGCGGGUCUCUGGACAGUUCCUGACACUGAGGCACGAAGGCCAGGGGAGCAAACGGG
RNAcentral lists this ribosomal RNA (253 nucleotides) under uncultured bacterium. RNAcentral's name for it is "partial 16S ribosomal RNA". It matches the Rfam family "Bacterial small subunit ribosomal RNA", at positions 524 to 776 of the family's 1533-position model. The record is from RNAcentral.